RNAcentral lists this ribosomal RNA (253 nucleotides) under uncultured bacterium. Its description in RNAcentral is "partial 16S ribosomal RNA". It matches the Rfam family "Bacterial small subunit ribosomal RNA", at positions 524 to 776 of the family's 1533-position model. The record is from RNAcentral.
UACGUAGGGCGCGAGCGUUGUCCGGAAUUAUUGGGCGUAAAGAGCUCGUAGGCGGCUUGUUGCGUCUGCUGUGAAAUCCCGGGGCUUAACCCCGGGCGUGCAGUGGAUACGGGCAGACUAGAGUACUGCAGGGGAGACUGGAAUUCCUGGUGUAGCGGUGGAAUGCGCAGAUAUCAGGAGGAACACCGGUGGCGAAGGCGGGUCUCUGGGCAGUAACUGACGCUGAGGAGCGAAAGCGUGGGGAGCGAACAGG